CCUACGGGAGGCUGCAGUAGGGAAUAUUGCUCAAUGGGGGAAACCCUGAAGCAGCAACGCCGCAUGAAGGAUGAAGGUUCUCGGAUUGUAAACCCCUUUUGUCAGAGAAGAAAAUGACGGUACCUAACGAAGAAGCACCGGCUAACUCCGUGCCAGCAGCCGCGGUAAUACGUAGGGUGCAAGCGUUAUCCGGAAUGACUGGGCGUAAAGAGCGCGUAGGCGGGGUAGCAAGUCAGAUGUGAAAUCCUAUGGCUUAACCAUAGUACUGCGCUGGAAACUGUUGAUCUUGAGUGUGGGAGAGGUAGGUGGAAUUCUUGGUGUAGGGGUGAAAUGCGUAGAGAUCAGGAGGAAUAC
Molecule: ribosomal RNA, 354 nt
Filed under: uncultured bacterium
Lineage: Bacteria
Description: partial 16S ribosomal RNA
Rfam family: Bacterial small subunit ribosomal RNA
Source: RNAcentral